GUUAUGGAGGGGGGAUGGGAAGAAGAAAAGCAAGUCGACGCAGCACAUUUUCUUUAAAGAAGGGGAGGGUGUAUGGAGGCAAAACUAUAUAAUUUUUUUUCUUUUUUUUUUUUUUUUUAAGGAAAUGUAUGUUGAUCUUCUGAAGCUGAAUCCUCAGGCAUUUGCGGCCAGUCGUUGCAGCCUGGUCCAGCUCUGGCCCCUGGAUGGGCAUCGCUCACGGCAGAGCUGCUGCAGCACACCCGAGGUCUGAGCCCGUGGAUUCAGCAUGCAGAGCCCUCAUCUCCAGCAGCCAGGUGGAACAGACCGCUGGGAAAAGGGAGUUUGGUGUGUGAUGGCAAGAUUCACCAGUGCCCCUUCCACCACUGCAUAUCAGCCUGGAUGUAGUCACCUUGUCAGGAGUGUAAAAUUUACAGCAGAAAUUACUUUAAGACUGGAAAAGCUCUUACUUAACUGAACCAUCAUUCAAAAUGCAUUAUGAAAGUCGCCAAGAAGUUUUCCAUCUCACUGUCUGCAGGACUCCUGCAGGUCUU
Poecile atricapillus (Black-capped chickadee) is the source of this 530-nucleotide long non-coding RNA. RefSeq lists it as uncharacterized. The record is from RefSeq and is a predicted model, not a curated record. The transcript has 3 exons. NCBI's taxonomy places the organism in Eukaryota, Metazoa, Chordata, Aves, Passeriformes, Paridae.